AAGAGGAGCUUGCUCCUCGGAACAGUGGCGGACGGGUAAGUAACACGUGAGCAACCUGGCUCUAAGAGGGGGACAACAGUUGGAAACGACUGCUAAUACCGCAUAACGUAUCGGGAUGGCAUCUUCCUGAUACCAAAGAUUUUAUCGCUUAGAGAUGGGCUCGCGUCUGAUUAGAUAGUUGGCGGGGUAACGGCCCACCAAGGCGAUGAUCAGUAGCCGGUCUGAGAGGAUGAACGGCCACACUGGAACUGAGACACGGUCCAGACUCC
Molecule: ribosomal RNA, 269 nt
Filed under: uncultured bacterium
Lineage: Bacteria
Description: partial 16S ribosomal RNA
Rfam family: Bacterial small subunit ribosomal RNA
Source: RNAcentral